RNAcentral lists this small nuclear RNA (18 nucleotides) under Arabidopsis thaliana (thale cress). Its description in RNAcentral is "snRNA_16539". The record is from RNAcentral. Lineage: Eukaryota; Viridiplantae; Streptophyta; Magnoliopsida; Brassicales; Brassicaceae.
UCUGAGAAUUCAUGAGCU